Molecule: long non-coding RNA, 318 nt
Organism: Myotis myotis
Lineage: Eukaryota; Metazoa; Chordata; Mammalia; Chiroptera; Vespertilionidae
Exons: 3
Source: RefSeq, a predicted model, not a curated record
UUUCUUCAAAAUUAUCGGUGUUCUGCUGAGUUGGUGGUGCUGGCUUUAUCAGAGGCACAAACAGUAACAGGAGAAGUGUAGACUGCAGAAUCUUCAUUUUAACAAAAAUUAAGGACAACAGAAUGGUCUCAAGGCAUUGCCAAGUGUCCCCUGGACGGCAAAAUCGCCCCUGUUGAGAGUCACCCAGUGGCCAGGUCGCCCCACAUUUGUGUGUUUAUUUCUUAUUUGAGGAAUUCUAUGCAAUGUUAGCCUAAUAAAUCAAGAAAGUUCAUCAAAGCAGGUAGAUCAUCUCUAUUAUAAGGUAUAGUUAAAAUAUUU